GGGUGCACCAGGCGCGAAAACUUUACAAUGCGGGAAACCGUGAUAAGGGGACACCGAGUGCCAGCAUCAUAUGCUGGCUGUCCAGGUGUGUAAAAUACACCUGUUAGCAAGGGCCGGGCAAGACCGGUGCCAGCCGCCGCGGUAACACCGGCGGCCCGAGUGGUGAUCGUGAUUAUUGGGUCUAAAGGGUCCGUAGCCGGUUUGGUCAGUCCUCCGGGAAAUCUGAUAGCUCAACUAUUAGGCUUUCGGGGGAUACUGCCAGACUUGGAACCGGGAGAGGUAAGAGGUACUACAGGGGUAGGAGUGAAAUCUUGUAAUCCCUGUGGGACCACCUGUGGCGAAGGCGUCUUACCAGAACGGGUUCGACGGUGAGGGACGAAAGCUGGGGGCACGAACCGGAUUAGAUACCCGGGUAGUCCCAGCCGUAAACGAUGCUCGCUAGGUGUCAGACAUGGCGCGACCGUGUCUGGUGCCGCAGGGAAGCCGUGAAGCGAGCCACCUGGGAAGUACGGCCGCAAGGCUGAAACUUAAAGGAAUCGGCGGGGGAGCACAAGGGCGAAUCGCG
This 565-nucleotide ribosomal RNA is filed under the name uncultured archaeon. RNAcentral's name for it is "bacterial SSU rRNA". It matches the Rfam family "Archaeal small subunit ribosomal RNA", at positions 328 to 897 of the family's 1478-position model. The record is from RNAcentral.